CCCUUAGAUGUCCGGGGCUGCACGCGCGCUACACUGAAGGAAUCAGCGGGCUAAAACCAUUGUCGAAAGGCAUUGGUAAACCCAUUAAAAUCCUACGUGAUUGGGAUCGGGAAUUGCAAUUAUUUCCCUUGAACGAGGAAUUCCCAGUAAGUGUGGGUCAUAAGCUCGCGUUGAUUACGUCCCUGCCCUUUGUACACACCGCCCGUCGCUGCCCGGGACUGAGCCGUUUCGAGAAAAGCGGGGACUGCUGCUGUCGGGGCUUUCGGGCCUUGGCUUCGGUGGAAACCGCUUUAAUCGCAGUGGCUUGAACCGGGCAAAAGUCGUAACA
RNAcentral lists this ribosomal RNA (328 nucleotides) under uncultured eukaryote. Its description in RNAcentral is "partial 18S ribosomal RNA". It matches the Rfam family "Eukaryotic small subunit ribosomal RNA", at positions 1470 to 1796 of the family's 1831-position model. The record is from RNAcentral.